GACGAACGCUGGCGGCGUGCCUAAUACAUGCAAGUAGAACGCUGAAGGAGGAGCUUGCUUCUCUGGAUGAGUUGCGAACGGGUGAGUAACGCGUAGGUAACCUGCCUGGUAGCGGGGGAUAACUAUUGGAAACGAUAGCUAAUACCGCAUAAGAGUAGAUGUUGCAUGACAUUUGCUUAAAAGGUGCAAUUGCAUCACUACCAGAUGGACCUGCGUUGUAUUAGCUAGUUGGUGGGGUAACGGCUCACCAAGGCGACGAUACAUCGCCGACCUGAGAGGGUGAUCGGCCACACUGGGACUGAGACACGGCCCAUACUCCUACGGGAGGCAGCAGUAGGGAAUCUUCGGCAAUGGACGGGAGUCAGACCGAGCAACGCCGCGUGAGUGAAGAAGGUUUUCGGAUCGUAAAGCUCUGUUGUAAGAGAAGAACGAGUGUGAGAGUGGAAAGUUCACACUGUGACGGUACCUUAACAGAAAGGGACGGCUAACUACGUG
RNAcentral lists this ribosomal RNA (495 nucleotides) under uncultured bacterium. RNAcentral's name for it is "partial 16S ribosomal RNA". It matches the Rfam family "Bacterial small subunit ribosomal RNA", at positions 28 to 507 of the family's 1533-position model. The record is from RNAcentral.